Molecule: transfer RNA, 76 nt
Filed under: Pseudomonas phage Astolliot
Lineage: Duplodnaviria; Heunggongvirae; Uroviricota; Caudoviricetes; Vandenendeviridae
Description: tRNA-Met
Rfam family: tRNA
About the family: Transfer RNA (tRNA) molecules are approximately 80 nucleotides in length. Their secondary structure includes four short double-helical elements and three loops (D, anti-codon, and T loops). Further hydrogen bonds mediate the characteristic L-shaped molecular structure. tRNAs have two regions of fundamental functional importance: the anti-codon, which is responsible for specific mRNA codon recognition, and the 3' end, to which the tRNAs corresponding amino acid is attached (by aminoacyl-tRNA synthetases). tRNAs cope with the degeneracy of the genetic code in two manners: having more than one tRNA (with a specific anti-codon) for a particular amino acid; and 'wobble' base-pairing, i.e. permitting non-standard base-pairing at the 3rd anti-codon position.
Source: RNAcentral
GGUCCGGUAGCUUAGUGGCAAAGCGGCGUGGCUCAUAACCGUGAGGACUGGGGUUCGACUCCCUUCCGGACCACCA